GGGGUCGUAUUGGUUUUGACAGCAUAGGCCGCGGUUGGUGUAAGCAUGCAGUGCGUUGUGUAAUUAGCACUUAAAUCUGAAUGCUCAAACUUCAAAUGGCAAUACACAGUAUGCCAUGGCUGCUUAAUCAGUGAUUGAGUAACCAUUCGGGCCGCCGCACAGGUUAGCUUUUUUCCAGGUGCCGCCGCCGACUCAAAACAAAAGAAGAUGCUGCAACAGUAGGCUGUGCCUGUUGCUUAAGACCAUCCAGCUAAGUGUUCCGUUGGUCUGUUCAUGUCCUGCGAAACGCCGACAACCAAUCAUGAAAUAAGCAUGUAGAAAGCUAAUGGCAGCGAUGUUUGGACAGGGGUUCGACUCCCCUCGACUCCACAG
RNAcentral lists this transfer-messenger RNA (372 nucleotides) under Sediminibacterium roseum. Its description in RNAcentral is "Standard tmRNA". It matches the Rfam family "transfer-messenger RNA". From Rfam's summary of the family: Bacterial tmRNA, also known as 10Sa RNA or SsrA, is named for its dual tRNA and mRNA-like properties. Lineage: Bacteria; Pseudomonadati; Bacteroidota; Chitinophagia; Chitinophagales; Chitinophagaceae. The record is from RNAcentral.